UGCAGAGGAGUACACAGUAUGAUGGCUA
Molecule: non-coding RNA, 28 nt
Filed under: Rattus norvegicus (Norway rat)
Lineage: Eukaryota; Metazoa; Chordata; Mammalia; Rodentia; Muridae
Source: RNAcentral